AAAGAAGGGACGAACGUCGCGAUCUGCGCCAGGGGAAGUGAGGACCUGGAGAAGGCGGCAGAAGGGAUCCGAGAGCACGGAGUGAAGGUCCUGACUGUUGCCGCUGACGUCACGAAUGCGGAAGACGUGCAGAGGGUCGUAGACCAACGGUCCGGGAGUUCGGCCGCCUGGAUAUCCUGGUGAACAACGCCGGUGGCAUCGUACCCGACCAUUCGGUCAACACUUCGGAUGAGGAGUGGCGCUACGCCAUGGACUUCAACCUGAACAGUGCCAUCCGGUUCACCCGGGCCGUCGUACCGUACAUG
RNAcentral lists this unclassified non-coding RNA (305 nucleotides) under plant metagenome. RNAcentral's name for it is "partial contains 5.8S ribosomal RNA, internal transcribed spacer 2, and large subunit ribosomal RNA". The record is from RNAcentral.